Long non-coding RNA from Esox lucius (northern pike), 530 nucleotides. Lineage: Eukaryota; Metazoa; Chordata; Actinopteri; Esociformes; Esocidae. The record is from Ensembl.
GCUCUCACACAUACAAGUUGUCGCAUUUGACAAGAUUCUGAUGGUCUCCGCUGACGCCAGCAGUGUGAAGUAAAUCUGCGUCUUGUGAGCCAUAGACAUCUUAUUUAAAGGCUAGACGUCUCAAGGCGCACUCACUUCCGGCAUCACCGGUGGCCAUCUUGUCACAGGCAGGCUUCCUGUCGGGCUCUGUGGUACCUAAUAUAAGGUUCAGCCAGGACCACUUGGAGCUUCUCUUCAACUCCAUCAGAGUAUCUGCCAGUUCAAGUACAUCUUUAGGAUGUAAAGCUGAUGGCCCAGUGUGGGGUUGUUAAACCAUGCAGAAAGCAAUGUGACGGCACAGGAUGACACAGAGUCCCUACCAGCUGUCAUCGACACCUCUACAAGCCUGUCAGCUGUAGAUGUGUCCUCUGCAGCAGGAGGAGAAGAUCUUCCAUCCCCGUUUGCUGACAUUCCUGCCCUAGUACAUGAUCACAGCUACCUUCCCGUCCACUUCGAUGGUCUUGUGGACAACGCUCUCAUGUACAUUUCAG